GUGAGGAAUAUUGGUCAAUGGGCGAGAGCCUGAACCAGCCAAGUAGCGUGCAGGAUGACGGCCCUAUGGGUUGUAAACUGCUUUUGUAUGGGGAUAAAGUCAAUCACGUGUGAUUGUUUGCAGGUACCAUACGAAUAAGGACCGGCUAAUUCCGUGCCAGCAGCCGCGGUAAUACGGAAGGUCCGGGCGUUAUCCGGAUUUAUUGGGUUUAAAGGGAGCGUAGGCUGGAGAUUAAGUGUGUUGUGAAAUGUAGACGCUCAACGUCUGACUUGCAGCGCAUACUGGUUUCCUUGAGUACGCACAACGUUGGCGGAAUUCGUCGUGUAGCGGUGAAAUGCUUAGAUAUGACGAAGAACUCCGAUUGCGAAGGCAGCUGACGGGAGCGCAACUGACGCUGAAGCUCGAAGGUGCGGGUAUCGAACAGGAUUAGAAACCCUAGUAGUCC
RNAcentral lists this ribosomal RNA (445 nucleotides) under uncultured bacterium. RNAcentral describes it as "bacterial SSU rRNA". It matches the Rfam family "Bacterial small subunit ribosomal RNA", at positions 354 to 796 of the family's 1533-position model. The record is from RNAcentral.